This 254-nucleotide ribosomal RNA is filed under the name uncultured bacterium. RNAcentral describes it as "partial 16S ribosomal RNA". It matches the Rfam family "Bacterial small subunit ribosomal RNA", at positions 524 to 776 of the family's 1533-position model. The record is from RNAcentral.
UACGUAGGGUGCGAGCGUUGUCCGGAAUUAUUGGGCGUAAAGAGCUCGUAGGCGGUGUGUCGCGUCGGCCGUGAAAACCUGGGGCUCAACUCUGGGCGUGCGGUCGAUACGGGCAUCACUGGAGUUCGGCAGGGGAGACUGGAAUUCCAGGUGUAGCGGUGAAAUGCGUAGAUAUCUGGAGGAACACCGGUGGCGAAGGCGGCGUUCUGGACUGCAACUGACACUGAGAAACGAAAGCCAGGGUAGCAAACGGG